Long non-coding RNA from Strongylocentrotus purpuratus (purple sea urchin), 2020 nucleotides. RefSeq annotates it as carbohydrate sulfotransferase 9. The transcript has 4 exons. The record is from RefSeq and is a predicted model, not a curated record. Lineage: Eukaryota; Metazoa; Echinodermata; Echinoidea; Camarodonta; Strongylocentrotidae.
UUUUAAAUCUGUUUCUGUCAGGACAAUACAAAUUAUACAUUUAUUCCCAUGGCCAAUGGAGAGACUUUUCGCCCAGACCUGUCUCUUUAGGUGGCCAUAAUUAUAUAACCCUUGUCAAUGUUUAGAUCAAACAGAGGUUCAACUCACCCGAUUUUGUUCUCGACAGAGUAUUCAUAUAUAUUUUUACCCUAAAAAUACAAUUUCACACUUGACUGAUUUGAUAUAAAUGACAGAGAUUAUUGCCACGUACAAGAAUCUGUAGACUCAUUUCACAAAAACUUGCACUGUAUUCGUUCAGGCAUAUAGAAGCGCUAUAAACUGUAAGUCAACAGCAAGGCAGCGACGUGUACAAACCUCAAUAAGCAAUUGAAUAUUGGGCAAAAGGCGUUAAAAGUAGCAAGGAUAAACGAAAAGAGAGUUAUAUUUAUACGUUUUGGAAGGUGAAUGUGAUCAUUUAUCAGUGAAUUGGUUGACAUUGCGGUACAAUGGGAGUAAGUAGGGAGUAUCUGAUCUUCAGUGUAGCGACGAUUGCUUCCGCUACCUUUGUGAUUCUUACCAUAUAUUCGGGAAUGGAAAAACAUGAAAAAGAUCGAGUUUUACAACCAAGAAUCACAAUGUCACAACGGUCCAACGAUCACUUUCUGCAGAACUGUCCGGCAACCCAGGCUUUGCGUCGACACACCCAACGUCAUGGUUGUUCCUCCCUCGGCUUCUGUGACAAAGAAACCUACAAGCUGAACAAAAUAAUUACAAAUCCGAGCUACCUUCGGAAUAUCUACGUCUCCGAAAGAUACCGAACCAUCAUCUGUCUCAUUCCGAAAGCAACCAGCAUGAACUGGGUGAGAACUCUAAUGAUACUAGAGGGCGCGAUCAACUCGACGAAUGGCUUGGCGCCGCAAGAAAUAGUACAUGCAGCCAAGAAGCAUCUCCGCGUGCUAGGCCAGUAUAAACUUGACAAGAGGCUUGGUAUAUUACGGAAUUACUCGUCGGCGAUCUUCGUGCGCAAUCCGUAUUCCCGUCUUCUGUCCGCUUUCCGUGACAGACUGGAGAAGUACCCCAAUCGGAAUCUGUCACAUCGUAAAUGGUUUAACAAAAAUAUCUAUUUGAAGUUCGGGAACCAUUCUCCCGCAGAGAUGCCGGAUCGGUCGAUGCCAAGCGAGAAAUACAACGUCACUUUCAAAGAAUUCGUGGACUUUUACCUGAGUGUAAAAAAAACUCAGGACGUGCACUGGCGAGAACAAUACAAAGUCUGCCCACCAUGUUUCGAUUACGAUUAUAUCGGCAACGUCGAAACGUACGCAGACGAUUUUAAGCAAACCGUUCAGAUAUUUGAUGCCACUUCGAAAGUGCCACUUGUGAAAGCGCCACAUGCGACCAAUAGUUCUGAGGAUGGCGUCUUGCGGAGGUAUUAUGGAACACUGUCGGAUCUUCAAAUGAAGAAGCUUGAAAAGCUGUUGAGUUCGGAUAUGAAAUUGUUCGGUUAUUCGAUUCCUCGAGCAAUUCAAAGAAAUUCAUUUUAAGCCUCGUUCACAUGCACAAAACGCGGCAAAACCGCGGCAGAAUUUUAACCACGUUAAUGAUGACGUAGAGUAAUGCACUUCACGUUGCUGUAUCUUAUGACACAGCUAGAGCUCGGUCAAUACGCGCAGGAUCUUCGUGGCACACAGUUUAAUUAAUUUAAAUUUAAAUUUAAUCGUAUUUCGUUUCCAGUGGUUCACCGCGGCAUAUCUGAACAAGCCUUCAAUGUCAGUGUUGAUACCUUCCAAUUAAAGUAUCAUUACACAUGUUAAGCAUGAUGUAUUACUCCAUAUCCUUAAAAAAAUAUUUUAAACAAAUCAUAGAUAUAUAAUAAUGGUAUAAGGGACAUUAUAGAUGCUAUGUUAUUGGACCUAAUUAUGUUCAUGACCAAUGAUUAGAUAAGAAAGUCUAGAUCAAACGGAAAUAUAUAUGUUUGCCAAAAAAAAAAAAAAAAAAAUCGAAAUUGUAUUGUCGAAAAAUACAUGUCAAUAUAACGAGUACA